This 408-nucleotide ribosomal RNA is filed under the name uncultured bacterium. RNAcentral's name for it is "partial 16S ribosomal RNA". It matches the Rfam family "Bacterial small subunit ribosomal RNA", at positions 28 to 526 of the family's 1533-position model. The record is from RNAcentral.
GACGAACGCUGGCGGCGUGCUUAACACAUGCAAGUCGAACGAAGUGGCGAACGGGUGAGUAACGCGUAAUCAACCUGCCCUUCAGAGGGGGAAAACAGUUGGAAACGACUGCUAAUACCGCAUACUGAAGGAGGGGAUUGCGUCUGAUUAGCUAGUUGGAGGGGUAACGGCCCACCAAGGCGAUGAUCGGUAGCGGGGCUGAGAGUAUGAUCCGCCACACUGGGACAGAGACACGGCCCGGAAUCCUACGGGAGGCAGCAGUGGGGAAUUUUGGACAAUGGGCGCAAGCCUGAUCCAGCCAUGCCGCGUGUCUGAAGAAGGCCUUCGGGUUGUAAAGGACUUUUGUUAGGGAAGCGGUACCUAAAGAAUAGGCACCGGCUAACUACGUGCCAGCAGCCGCGGUAAUUC